UGGCCUCAAAUCAGGUA
RNAcentral lists this ribosomal RNA (17 nucleotides) under Marasmius nummularius. Its description in RNAcentral is "partial large subunit ribosomal RNA". Lineage: Eukaryota; Fungi; Basidiomycota; Agaricomycetes; Agaricales; Marasmiaceae. The record is from RNAcentral.